CCUUCGAUAGCUCAGUUGGUAGAGCGGUGGACUGUAGAAGAAUCUGAAAGUAGAAAUCCAUAGGUCGCUGGUUCAAAUCCGGCUCGAAGGA
This 91-nucleotide transfer RNA is filed under the name Musca domestica (house fly). It matches the Rfam family "tRNA". From Rfam's summary of the family: Transfer RNA (tRNA) molecules are approximately 80 nucleotides in length. Lineage: Eukaryota; Metazoa; Arthropoda; Insecta; Diptera; Muscidae. The record is from Rfam by way of RNAcentral.